UGGGGAAUUUUGCACAAUGGGGGAAACCCUGAUGCAGCGACGCCGCGUGAUUUAGAAGGCCUUCGGGUUGUAAAAAUCUUUUCUAUGGGAAGAAAAUGACAGUACCAUAGGAAUAAGGACCGGCUAAUUACGUGCCUGCAGCCGCGGUAAUACGUAAGGUCCGAGCGUUGUCCGGAAUCAUUGGGCGUAAAGGGUACGUAGGCGGGUAAGCAAGUUAGAAGUGAAAUCCUAUAGCUCAACUAUAGUAAGCUUUUAAAACUGCUCAUCUUGAGGUAUGGAAGGGAAAGUGGAAUUCCUAGUGUAGCGGUGAAAUGCGCAGAUAUUAGGAGGAAUACCGGUGGCGAAGGCGACUUUCUGGCCAUAACCUGACGCUGAGGUACGAAAGCGUGGGUAGCAAACAGG
RNAcentral lists this ribosomal RNA (402 nucleotides) under bacterium. Its description in RNAcentral is "partial 16S ribosomal RNA". It matches the Rfam family "Bacterial small subunit ribosomal RNA", at positions 355 to 776 of the family's 1533-position model. The record is from RNAcentral.